This is a non-coding RNA of Vicia faba (fava bean), 207 nucleotides long. Lineage: Eukaryota; Viridiplantae; Streptophyta; Magnoliopsida; Fabales; Fabaceae. The record is from the annotation of a GenBank genome assembly.
AUGGAAGGUUCUAGCAAUUGUGAUGGAGAGAGUGUAGCGAUGAUCCCAAAUCACAAGACUCUCAAUAUUGAAUUGCCUUCUAGCUCUGACGUUGAUGUUAGCUCUAUGGUUUCGAUGAAGGAGGGUUGUAAAUCACCUUUGUCAUCAUGGGAUUCUGAACCUGAAGCUGAUAUCAUGGAUUAUGGUUUUUCGUGGGAGUUAGAAUAA